This 309-nucleotide ribosomal RNA is filed under the name uncultured bacterium. Its description in RNAcentral is "partial 16S ribosomal RNA". It matches the Rfam family "Bacterial small subunit ribosomal RNA", at positions 504 to 809 of the family's 1533-position model. The record is from RNAcentral.
AGAGACAGCAGCCGCCACGGUAAUACAGAGGGUGCGAGCGUUAAUCGGAUUUACUGGGCGUAAAGCGUGCGUAGGCGGCUUCUUAAGUCGGAUGUGAAAUCCCUGAGCUUAACUUAGGAAUUGCAUUCGAUACUGGGAAGCUAGAGUAUGGGAGAGGAUGGUAGAAUUCCAGGUGUAGCGGUGAAAUGCGUAGAGAUCUGGAGGAAUACCGAUGGCGAAGGCAGCCAUCUGGCCUAAUACUGACGCUGAGGUACGAAAGCAUGGGGAGCAAACAGGAUUAGAUACCCCAGUAGUCCCUGUCUCUUAUAA